Hypanus sabinus (Atlantic stingray) is the source of this 2824-nucleotide long non-coding RNA. RefSeq lists it as uncharacterized. NCBI's taxonomy places the organism in Eukaryota, Metazoa, Chordata, Chondrichthyes, Myliobatiformes, Dasyatidae. The record is from RefSeq and is a predicted model, not a curated record. The transcript is spliced from 2 exons.
ACAACCAGAGGUCAUGGGUUAAGGGUGGAAGGUGAAGGGUUUAAGGGGAACAUGAGGGGAAACUCAGCGGGUCGUCAGAGUGUGGAACAAGCUGGCUGCUGAAGUGGUGCAUGCGAGGUAGAUUUUAACGUUUAAGUGGUUUGGCUGGGCACGUCAAUGGUAGGCCAAGGGUUCUGCUGCAGGUCGAUGGGAGUAGGCAGUUUAAAUGGUUUCAGCAUGGACUAGAUGGGCCAAAGGGCCUGUUUCUGAGCUGUACUUCUCUAAGGCUCCAUGUGUCAUUGGACUUACAGCAAUGACAUAAGAUAAAACUGUACAGGUGAAAAUUAGAUCAAUAAAGCAAGAGAGAAAGCAGGCAGUCAAGUUCAGGGGCCGGCCAGCCGGAAAUGUGCUGGUGGAGGGGUAGAUGCUGUUCCUAACACUCUGCGUGUGGUUCUUCAGCUGGCUCAAACAUGAAGAGGGCAUGAUCCGGUGGUGAGGGUCCUUCUCGAGGCACGGCCUCUUGAAGACGUCCCUGAUGUGGGGAGGGUUGUGCUGUAAUGGAGGUGCCUGAGUCUCCAGCCUCUGUGACCCUGUGCAUUGGAGAAGCUGUGCCGGGCUCUGCGCCAUACAUUUACAAAUAAUGGCAAUCACUGAUUCUGAAUGCAGUCAUAGGACACGGGAAUAGCUGGGCAGUCCGUCUGGGCUGGGGGCUGGUGACUGGGGACAGUCCUCACAUUACCUCAUCCUCUCCUCUUCCUUCCAGCUGAACAUCUCUUUCAACGACUCGGAGUCCAUCUUCGAGUACCCGUCGGAGCUGGCGCUUCUGGCAGAGUUUGGCACAGGCGACGACGAGGUGCUGCCCCAGGCCCGGGAGCCUCAGGAGGAAGAGGAGGAGGAGGAGGAGGAGGCGCUAGUCUCCCGCCGAGAGGCGCCUGGGUCACCCGUGAUCCGAAGGGCAGUCCGCAGAAAACCUCUGCUCGUAGACGAGAGCUGCAGGUGAUGCUGGACAGCCGCCACCCGACGCUCGACUUCCGGAAAUGCCACCGAACUCUGCUUUAAGUCUCGUAAGUUGCUGAGGACCACAUACCUAACGAGAACAAAGAUCACAAUCCAGGAGCCUUUGGUUUCCCCUCCGUUCACUGGGCCUGCAGUGGAUGCCUCUGUCAAAGUGGUUCACUUCCUCUGGAUGCUUUUCUCAGGAACGAACAUCUCCACCAGGUCAAGUGGAACUUGUGACCACAGCCGGAGAGAAUGGACAUCGUGUGUUUAUACUGUUAGAGGACCGCUGCGGUUCCUCGCUCGAACAUAACUUCCCAAAUGCCAAAUCCUUUUUCCUAGCUUCACAUGCCGGAUACAUGAAGUUCUUGAAGAACGUAAGCUCCUGCAGGAGGAACAGUUGUCAUGGCGAUGUGUGUGUGCGUGCGCAAGUAAAGGGGGAUUUGGUAUGUCAAUAAUAUUUAUUCCUCCCCUCGUGUGUAAACAGGGUUGAGUGCUGUACUUUGACAGGGUUUCUCUCUGUGGGGAGACAGGACACUGGGCAGAAUGAAUAUCCCAUCCUACCCCCCCCCGCUGGUGAGGGUGAAGUAAGUGCGACAGAGGACAGAGGCCUGGUACGGUCCAGACCUGGACCUCAUCUGUGCUGUGGGGAGGUUCGCAGUUCCCAGUGGCUCAACAGUGUAUUUCACACAGAUCCCACUGGGCAGGACCUCUCCAGCAGCACUGUCCAUCCUGGAGCGAGCCUGCCAUUCUCUCACUUCCUGUCAUCGGCUUACGACCCCGCUCAUGGCAAACAGAUUAUCACGAGGCGUGGAGACCCUAGCCAGCCUACCCUGGGAUCUUCCAACCCUAAUUCCUUCAUCUUCCCUGUCUUCCUCUACAUAGCAUUUUGGGAAUUGGGAAAACAGGGAGGAGCCAUAAGACUAUAAAAUAUAGGAUUAGAAUCAGGCCAUUCAGCCCACCGAAUUCGCCCUGCCACGCACUCAUGCCUGAUAUUUCUUUCUAACUUGCUUCUCCCGCCUGCUCUCUGUAAAUCUUAACCCCAUUACCAAUCACAAACCUCCUCGAUCUCUGCCUUAAGUACAACAAUUUGGCCUCCACAGCUCUCUGUGGCAGUGAGUCCCAUAGAUUCAUCACCCUCUGCCUGAAGAAAUCCCCCCUCCUCAGGGUUCUAAAAGGACGUCCCUUCAUUCGGAGGAGAAUGUAAUGACCCCAGCUACUUGUCUAUCCUGGGAUGACCGGUCCCAGUGAACAGCAAUCAGUGUGCAAGGAAAUAUGUCCAACUCCGACUCAGGAAUUCUUCCCCCAAAAUGACAGGGUUUCCCCAACCCUCACCCCCACUGGGCAUCGGUGAGUCCGUUGGCCUCUCUCUCUCUCUCUCUCUCUCUCUCUCCAAGUCAUUCAGACACAAUCCCUCUGAAUAAUCCUGGGAAUUGUCCCACCUUCUAGUCAUGCAUCUCUUCUGCCUGGAAGUGGAAUGCACUCAGCUCCUGUUAAUCAGAGGCCCUGCACGGGAUAAAUCCUGGGAUUAUCUGUGACAACUGGCUGGUCCCAGGAUCACUAUCAGGAUAUGAGAUUUCCUAAAAACCACCCCUUCCCGCUCCCAGUCCGGAUACAGUCUUCCAGUCCGCACAAGACAUUCCCGUCUCCCAGUUUACAAGCUCCAGAUUGUAAGUGUUUUUUUCUAAUAUAAACUUUACAGUAGAUUUUGUGUGUGAGUGUGAGAUUUUAUUACGAGUUUGGUGUGAGUGGUUAAACGAUGCAUGCCAACUAUUCAGCUGUCACAGCCGUAUCCUCCUUGAAAGUGUACUCGCACAUGAACCUCAAUAAAAUUUUGUAACUGGUUCAA